UGAUGGAGGGGGAUAACUACUGGAAACGGUAGCUAAUACCGCAUAAUGUCGCAAGACCAAAGUGGGGGACCUUCGGGCCUCAUGCCAUCAGAUGUGCCCAGAUGGGAUUAGCUAGUAGGUGGGGUAACGGCUCACCUAGGCGACGAUCCCUAGCUGGUCUGAGAGGAUGACCAGCCACACUGGAACUGAGACACGGUCCAGACUCCUACGGGAGGCAGCAGUGGGGAAUAUUGCACAAUGG
This 241-nucleotide ribosomal RNA is filed under the name Klebsiella pneumoniae. RNAcentral's name for it is "partial 16S ribosomal RNA". It matches the Rfam family "Bacterial small subunit ribosomal RNA", at positions 131 to 374 of the family's 1533-position model. Lineage: Bacteria; Pseudomonadati; Pseudomonadota; Gammaproteobacteria; Enterobacterales; Enterobacteriaceae. The record is from RNAcentral.